RNAcentral lists this ribosomal RNA (780 nucleotides) under Salmonella enterica subsp. enterica serovar Dublin. Its description in RNAcentral is "partial 23S ribosomal RNA". It matches the Rfam family "Bacterial large subunit ribosomal RNA", at positions 510 to 1190 of the family's 2925-position model. The record is from RNAcentral. Lineage: Bacteria; Pseudomonadati; Pseudomonadota; Gammaproteobacteria; Enterobacterales; Enterobacteriaceae.
AAAGGCGAAAAGAACCCCGGCGAGGGGAGUGAAAAAGAACCUGAAACCGUGUACGUACAAGCAGUGGGAGCCCCACCACUAAGCCAGUGGUGAACUCCACAUACGCAUCCUUUGCUGAGGAUACGGUUAACGGAGCGAAAGCGACGUUCAACCGCAAAAGAAGCAGAGGGGGCUUAGUGGUGGGGUGACUGCGUACCUUUUGUAUAAUGGGUCAGCGACUUAUAUUCUGUAGCAAGGUUAACCGAAUAGGGGAGCCGGAGGGAAACCGAGUCUUAACCGGGCGUUAAGUUGCAGGGUAUAGACCCGAAACCCGGUGAUCUAGCCAUGGGCAGGUUGAAGGUUGGGUAACACUAACUGGAGGACCGAACCGACUAAUGUUGAAAAAUUAGCGGAUGACCUGUGGCUGGGGGUGAAAGGCCAAUCAAACCGGGAGAUAGCUGGUUCUCCCCGAAAGCUAUUUAGGUAGCGCCUCGUGAAUUCAUCUCCGGGGGUAGAGCACUGUUUCGGCUAGGGGGCCAUCCCGGCUUACCAACCCGAUGCAAACUGCGAAUACCGGAGAAUGUUAUCACGGGAGACACACGGCGGGUGCUAACGUCCGUCGUGAAGAGGGAAACAACCCAGACCGCCAGCUAAGGUCCCAAAGUCAUGGUUAAGUGGGAAACGAUGUGGGAAGGCCCAGACAGCCAGGAUGUUGGCUUAGAAGCAGCCAUCAUUUAAAGAAAGCGUAAUAGCUCACUGGUCGAGUCGGCCUGCGCGGAAGAUGUAACGGGGCUAAACCAU